Molecule: long non-coding RNA, 364 nt
Organism: Heterocephalus glaber (naked mole-rat)
Lineage: Eukaryota; Metazoa; Chordata; Mammalia; Rodentia; Bathyergidae
Source: Ensembl
GAGUGAAGCUCCCUGAAGCCAUGACCGGGGAUUAGGUUUCUCAGGAUACUGACAGUGCCCGAUGCAAAGGAGUGGAUGGAGGGAAAAGACCAUAGGCUUGAGAUUCCACAGAGGCAGAAUCAAAGUUCAGUCCAAAACAGAAGAGGAACAGAACUAGCUGUCAACUAUAAUAAACAGAACGUGAAAUGUGAGAGCAGGUUGUGAAAAAAGGAUAAUUAAAACAAGGGUCUUGCCAAGACUCUCAUGAACUCACGAUCCUUCUGCCUCGGUCUGGUCUCCUGAGUGCUGGGAUUACAAACGCACUCCACCGCACCCAGUUGUACCUUUCCUCAUCCUGUAGAUGCACUGACAUGUUUGAUCUCAU